GGAAAUAGAAGUGUUUCUAAGCGCCCAAACCCUCUCUCUUCAUCGGUCUCCCUUUUGUUCGAUCCCGGUCUUUCUAGUCUCUAUUUUGCGGGUUCUCUACGACCGAAGCUUCCUCAUCCCCGUCGGCAUGGGAAUCAAGGUUAGGGUUUUGUUUUUCCUCUGUCCCUGUAGUUGUCUCUUAGCUUCUUCCCCGCGUGAUGGGGUCCCCCGUCUCCUGCUCUUUACCUGCUGGACGAAGCUCCUCGCGGACAACGCCCCCAAGGCCAUGAAGGACCAGAAGUUCGAGAGCUGUUUCGGCCGGAAGAUCGCGUUAUGUAUUUGAUGGUCAGCCACCGGAAUUGAAGAAACAAGAACUUGCCAAAAGAUACUCAAAGAGAGAAGAUGCUACCGAGGAUCUGAAUGCAGCAAUCGAGGCUGGUGACACAGGGAAUUGAAAAGUAUAGCAAAAGGACAGUGAAGGUUGUUUUUGAUGUUUCUAGUUUGCAGUAGAUUAUAUGCCUUGAAGGUCCAGAAUCAAAGUGCAUGUGAGGCCCAAUAUUAUGGUGGCUCUGCGUUAUGACGUGCCCUUUAGUUCUAUUCACGGGUAGGAUUUUCCUAUUCAAGUAUUUUACCUAUCCAAUAUUAGGUCGGAUUUGAUAUCAAUUUUCAUGAUUAGAUUCAAUGAGAUAACUUUACAUAUCUAUUGAAAUUGAGUCACUGAUCCAAAAUGCUUAAGCCUAAUAUAAUAGUAAUACACUUAUCUGAUUCGUAUAAAUCAAUUCAUAAUUUUACGUAUUCUUAUGUGGAAUUAAACUUAGAAUGUUAUAGUAUUUCCUUUGCUCAAGCUUACCAUAGAGUUUCCAACACAUAUCUCAAGUAUAUCUUGGGUUUGUGCAAUAGUCAUGUCACAAUUUUCUUUUUUCGUCCAUGGAUUGUUUCCUUGUAGCAUGCAAAAAAAAUUUUGAGAUUGCCAAGGUUAAGUUUUCUCAGAUUGAAUUCUUAUACAGACGAGCUUAACUUCCUACCUUCUUCUUCACGAACUAAGAAAAAUAUUUCUUUAAUAGAUGGGAGAAGGCCUCUGCCCAGGACUCUUUCACAAACUUCAUUAAACUUGGGAUUAAGGCCCAACCAGAAAAUUAAAAAUUCAUGUUCAUUCAAUCAUAUCUUUAAGCUUCUUUCUUUCAUUUUGAUACCCAGACAGAGAUCUAGUCCUAACCAAAGUCCCUUCAGAAUAGCAUAGUAGUUGGUAACUGGUUAGUUACCUUAUUUAGUGGACAAUCUGCCUCUUCAAUUCAUAUUAUUGGUUAGCAGCACACUUGGAGUAGGUUUAUGUGACUGCAUCCCAUGUCCUUUCUAUUUUCCAGCAGGAGAUUGUCUUGCUUAUCUCAUGUUGCAUGAAGUGCAAUAGCCAGGACAUCACCAUUGAACUUUUACAUCUGAGAUUUCAAAUUUUGGAUCAGAUUUCUCAGGUGCAGAAGAAGUGCCAAGAGAAUAACUCCAUUUAAUUCUAAAGUAUUUAUUUGUACGGUGGUAUUUUCAGAUGACUAUGUGUCCUGGAUUUGGUGUCGAGUUGGUCGAGGUGACUAUUUUUUAUGUUGCAAACAUGCUUAAAAGAUUGGAAGGUUUGAAGAUGAAGAUUUAGAAAUGGCAAUGAAAGUCGAAACAAUGAUCAGCAAAGAAAGGACUGACCAGAAAUGUUGAUCAAGAAAUAAGGCUGACCAGGAAUUGGAUCUGAACCAGAAAACUCGAAUGCUCUGAUACCAUGUAGAACGAGUAAUUGCAUUGGUUACUUCAUCAUGAAUGAACUUAUAAAUUUAUAAGAAGGAUUGAAGUCCCUAAUAGUUAAAAUCCAAUUAUCGUGUUACUGUUAUAAUUUAUUAGGAAUACAUAUUUGGAGUAUAUGAAGAUGGAGGAGGCCCACCAUAUUUGGAGUUUGCCAUAGGUUUUAUCAAGGUUCGUCAUAUUGUGGCAUACCACUCGGUACAAGCGGUGUGUAUUGGUUUGACAGGGGAUGGUAUGAGCGGUGUAUCGGUAUGCCCUCAUAUAUCAUAUGUCGAUAUGUUUGGUAUGGUUCGGUACAGCUUGAUACAUAUCGUAUCGAUAGCUGGUCGGUACAUCGGUACGGAUCGAUAACGUAAAUCAUGAUUUUUAUGAUCUCUCAACUGUACAAUCAUGCACUUCCAAUUGCAGUUACCAAAUACUUGAGGAAUGGCCAUAUCAAGAAGCUUGUCGCCUGUUCAAAGAACCCAAUGUGAUUAUGGAAAUUCCAGAGCUGAUUUGGACUGCUCCAGAUGAGGAAGUAACUAAAAGGGAAGUUGGUGCUUAUGAUCCACACAUUAGGUGUCUUGAGACAAACUGACUGGGAUUUCUGUUUCUCAUACUUAUGGUCUCACGUGCUUUCUGGUGAAUGAAAAUGGUUUCAACAAUGAUCGAGUUACAAAGACAUGCAUCCUGUUCAGUUUGUUGAUUCCACCACUCUAUGAAUUAGUUUUCGUCAAGAGUCCUGAGCUAUUUGGUAUUUGCAUAUUUUCUAGGAAAUUGAAAAUAUUAUAGCCGCCAAGAAUAAGUCUUCCCAAGGGCGGCUAGAGUCCUUUUUUAAGCCUGUUGUUAAUGCAUCUGCACCUCCUAAAGGAAAGGAGAUUGAAGAAGUAGCAAAAGGAACAUCUACAAACUACAAGUCUAAAUCUGGAGGUGCAAAGAAAUGAUUGGAAAGCAAUAUCAGCACUCAAAACAUUGCAAUGAAGUUGCAUGGGUCAUAGAAAGAUAAACUUCGCCAUGUUGCUCGAGCCUUAUACGAGGCUAUCACCAUCCUCUAGGUGAGCUAGCAGUCGCUUGAGGAUCUGGAUCUCAACCUUAUGUCUCAGGACAUGGAUCUUCGCAUCGUCUUCAGCCAUCGAGAAGCAUAGGAAGAAGGUUGCAAUGUACCUUGCUUUGUAAACGUCUCAGGAGCAGGUCAUUUGAGAAUAGGGGAGAAUUUGCCUUCCUUGGAAGUUCAAGCCUUGGGGCCUCGGCUUACACAUUCGGGAUGCUUGAAGAGGAAAGGAGGGCCUUGGCACAAAACCUAUUUAAUAAGUGUCGGUCGGGCCCUUUACUCAGUCAUUAUUAUUGAGUUCGUGUCGAAGGGUAGAUGAAGCGCCACCCUCGGUCCGAGCGAGUGAAUGGGCUCCUUUGCCUUUUACGAGAGGGAAGUUUUCUUGAACUAUUAAAUCCUCCCACUUUGGGAGGGAGUCGGUGAGGCAACCAACAAUAGCAACAACAACCACUAUCUAGCGGACCAAGGCCCUCGUCCUUGGCUCGCUCGAGCGAUCCGUUGCUCGUUAGUGGAUGUUAACCACGAAGUUGGAGGUUUAGGCUCUUCUUCUAGUGCUAGUUGAUAAGUCAUCAUGUGUCAUCAUUGGUGUAAGUAUGAGGGCUUGCGAGAAAUUGCUCGCUUUGGGUGAGUUGCAUAGUUUUGCUCUUUCGGGAUGAGCUCCAAUAUGGGCCUUUAGAGGAUGACUUCGGCAUUUAUAAGGUCUUUAUUUUCUUACUCCUUAAUUAAUGUGAAUUAAAUAUAUUUAUCAGUAACCUUAACCUCAAUAGGAGAGUUGAGGUUGUUAGUGUAUAUUAUGGUUGUUUGAUUAGGAUAUCGAUUUGGAGCUAAUUGAGU
This is a long non-coding RNA of Musa acuminata AAA Group (dessert banana), 3625 nucleotides long. RefSeq lists it as uncharacterized. The record is from RefSeq and is a predicted model, not a curated record. NCBI's taxonomy places the organism in Eukaryota, Viridiplantae, Streptophyta, Magnoliopsida, Zingiberales, Musaceae. The transcript has 8 exons.